This 71-nucleotide transfer RNA is filed under the name Myotis davidii. It matches the Rfam family "tRNA". From Rfam's summary of the family: Transfer RNA (tRNA) molecules are approximately 80 nucleotides in length. Their secondary structure includes four short double-helical elements and three loops (D, anti-codon, and T loops). Further hydrogen bonds mediate the characteristic L-shaped molecular structure. tRNAs have two regions of fundamental functional importance: the anti-codon, which is responsible for specific mRNA codon recognition, and the 3' end, to which the tRNAs corresponding amino acid is attached (by aminoacyl-tRNA synthetases). tRNAs cope with the degeneracy of the genetic code in two manners: having more than one tRNA (with a specific anti-codon) for a particular amino acid; and 'wobble' base-pairing, i.e. permitting non-standard base-pairing at the 3rd anti-codon position. The record is from Rfam by way of RNAcentral. Lineage: Eukaryota; Metazoa; Chordata; Mammalia; Chiroptera; Vespertilionidae.
GCCUGCAUGGCUCAGUGGUUGAGCCUCUAUCUAUGAACUAGGAGGUCAUGGUUGGAUUCCUGGUCAGGGCA